This 645-nucleotide unclassified non-coding RNA is filed under the name Hevea brasiliensis (rubber tree). The record is from RNAcentral. Lineage: Eukaryota; Viridiplantae; Streptophyta; Magnoliopsida; Malpighiales; Euphorbiaceae.
GCUUGUUACUACCAUAAUACUUACACAAGAUAAUCUUCAACCCAUGAUAACAUCUGCUGUCAAAAAUUAAGACAUCCCUGAUAAAAAUAUCAAGACAUAACUCGACACUGAAGCUAUGUCCAUCUAUAAGUCUAUUACAGUGUCCAUAGCGCCCCACCAAGAGGAAAGGACAGCUAACCAGUAUUAGCUAUCAGAGUCAAAAAGUUCUGGUAGUGAUCAAAUGGCUUCCCGCCAAUCAUUGACAUUACUGGCUGGCCAAUCAAGGAACUUGUACGCCUCAAGUGAGGAUGGUAGAUAGGUCUGAGUUGACGAAGGAUUAUCAGGAGUGUAGAUGUAGCCCUUCCCAUACCCAAGCUCUUUCAUUACCUUAGUAGGUGCAUUUCUCAAAUGGAGCGGCACUCCCUCAUUUUGUCCAGUGGAUUCUCUAACAACCUUUUGUGCAGCCUCUAUUGCUUGAUAUACAGCAAUGGAUUUUGGAGCCAAAGCCAAGUAAGCCACGCACUGAGCGAGAAUCACAUUGCAUUCAGGCAUGCCCAAGAAAUGGCAAGCUUGGUAGCAAGCAACAGCCUGGUUAAGGGCCAAGGGAUCAGCCAAUCCAACAUCCUCACUUGCAAACCUAAUCAAACGCCUAGCUAUAUAGAGUGG